UACGUAGGGCGCAAGCGUUGUCCGGAAUUAUUGGGCGUAAAGAGCUCGUAGGCGGUUCGUCGCGUCGGCUGUGAAAACCCGGAGCUCAACUCCGGGCCUGCAGUCGAUACGGGCGGACUUGAGUGUUGCAGGGGAGACUGGAAUUCCUGGUGUAGCGGUGAAAUGCGUAGAUAUCUGGAGGAACACCGGUGGCGAAGGCGGCAUCCUGGACCGGUAUUGACGCUGAGGCGCGAAAGCUAGGGGAGCAAACGGG
Molecule: ribosomal RNA, 253 nt
Filed under: uncultured bacterium
Lineage: Bacteria
Description: partial 16S ribosomal RNA
Rfam family: Bacterial small subunit ribosomal RNA
Source: RNAcentral